RNAcentral lists this unclassified non-coding RNA (334 nucleotides) under soil metagenome. RNAcentral describes it as "partial contains 5.8S ribosomal RNA, internal transcribed spacer 2, and large subunit ribosomal RNA". The stretch from base 1 to 120 matches the Rfam family "5.8S ribosomal RNA", at positions 35 to 154 of the family's 154-position model. The record is from RNAcentral.
GAUGAAGAACGUAGCGAAAUGCGAUACGUAAUGUGAAUUACAGAAUUCAGUGAAUCAUCGAAUCUUUGAACGCACAUUGCGCCCGCCAGCACUCUGGCGGGCAUGCCUGUUCGAGCGUCAUUUCAACCAUCAAGCCCCAGGCUUGCGUUGGAGCCCUGCGGCUGCCGCAGCCUCCUAAAAGCAGUGGCGGGCUCGCUAUCACACCGAGUGCAGUAGAUUACUCUUCGCUCAGGGCGUGCAGCGGGUUCCGGCCGUGAAACCCCCUACUUUUAAAGGUUGACCUCGGAUCAGGUAGGAAUACCCGCUGAACUUAAGCAUAUCAAUAAGCGGAGGA